This 17911-nucleotide long non-coding RNA is filed under the name Manihot esculenta (cassava). RNAcentral's name for it is "long non-coding RNA (MESC_LNC006159)". Lineage: Eukaryota; Viridiplantae; Streptophyta; Magnoliopsida; Malpighiales; Euphorbiaceae. The record is from RNAcentral.
CCUCCACCCAUCCUCUUGAUCUCAUCAAGGUUCGCAUGCAACUUCAAGGUGAAUCCCACCUCCCCAAUCCAGCUUCCCUUCAAGCCCUCCGUCCUGCAAUCGCCUUCAACACGGUUGCUGCAGGUGCCGGCAAUAUUUCACUACCUGUAGAAAUUGCUCCUCCACCUGCUCGUGUUGGACCCAUUUCUAUUGGUGUUCGUAUCAUUCAAUCUGAAGGUGCUGCAGCCCUUUUCACUGGUGUAUCUGCCACUAUACUUCGCCAGACCUUGUACUCAACCACCCGUAUGGGUCUUUACGAUGUUCUCAAACACAAGUGGACAGAUCAAGACACCGGAAGCAUGCCUCUUCCACGCAAGAUUCUUGCCGGCCUUAUCUCCGGCGGUAUCGGAGCCGCCGUUGGGAACCCCGCUGACGUGGCUAUGGUCCGAAUGCAGGCUGAUGGACGUCUCCCAAUUGACCAACGUCGCAACUACAAGAGUGUGUUUGAUGCUCUAACUCAAAUGUCAAAGCAAGAAGGAAUUGCUAGCCUCUGGCGUGGCUCAAGUCUUACAGUGAACCGUGCAAUGAUCGUCACUGCAUCACAGCUCGCAACCUAUGAUCAGAUCAAGGAGAUGAUAUUGGAGAAGGGUGUGAUGAGUGAUGGAAUAGGGACCCAUGUGACGGCGAGCUUCGCAGCUGGGUUUGUGGCAUCGGUGGCUUCAAACCCUAUAGAUGUGAUAAAGACUAGGGUUAUGAACAUGAAGGUGGAGACAGGGGGGGAGCCGCCAUACAAGGGUGCAUUAGACUGUGCAAUGAAGACAGUGAAGGCGGAGGGUCCAAUGGCUUUGUAUAAGGGAUUUAUCCCUACAAUCUCAAGGCAAGGACCUUUCACUGUGGUGCUGUUUGUCACGCUAGAGCAGGUCAGGAAGCUGCUCAAAGAUUUCUAAUUCAAGUGAUGGUGAUCGAUGAGGGAAAUCAAAAUGCCAUAUAUAGAUAGAAAUAUGUGAAUUUUUCAGCUUCACUAUCGGGAGAAUUAUUCUUUAAUUCUUUUUGUUAGAAUUUGGAAAGGCCACUAUUAUUCCAUUACUGUAAAGAAGAAUUGAAUUUUUGAUAUAAAUUAAUUAUUACUUGAUCUCACAUUUCCAUUUGUCUAUCUUCAUAUAUAAUUGCAGAAUUCACCGCAAAUGUAAAAAAAUUCAAUUAAUCAAGGUGUUGUUCUCCUAAUGGCAUGGCUCACAGUCACAAAAUUAAAAAGAGAUUAAACCCAUCAAAAUACAUAAUCACAUCAAUAUAGAAUGCUUGUAUGAAUAUUGCUGGAGUUUUGACCUUCUUGAGUUUUGACAUCCUGCAGCUGCAUUAUAAGAGUAACAAUCACUUUUAUUUUUUUUGACAAUAACCUUACCAUAAAUUACAAGUAAAUAUUUUAUACUUCGUCCUUUUCUUUGAUACUGGUUUUUCUACGGCCACCCUUGUCUUUUCAAGAAGGGUUGACUUCUGUCACCUUGUUAUAUGUUUUUAAAUUUUUUUUAUUAUUAUUGUUUUACAUGUUGUGCUUCUUCAGUUUUUUCAUGCCUUAUUGUUGACAGAUUUAAGAGAGGAUUAACUUUUUGGGAAUGGUGAAACUCUUGGAGUCGUAUUCCGAACAUGAAUAAUGCAAUCAGUAACCCUCAAGGCCUUGGGUGCCAUAGAACUCUGGCUACUGCCCUUAGUUGGUUUGAAGCUUCGAUGCUUCUGGCCUUCAAUCAGUCUGUGCUUUAGUUUUAUUGGUUCUGGCUGUUGCCCUCAGUUGAUUUGAAGCUUCGACUUUGGUCUGGCCUUCAAUCAAUCUUUGCUUCAGUUUUAUUAGUUUUCUUGAUAAGACGCUCCAUGGCUCUUUCUACAAGUUGCAUUUGUUGUCGGGUCUCUCAACUUUUUAAGUUUUAAGGAUUUGAUGACCUUUUAGGUUUUAAGAAACCUUAUUUUAUUUUCUAUUAAAAACUACGGUUUUAAAUGAGUUGGAUUAAAAUUUUAAUUUUAAUUUUUUUCUUUAUAUUAUUAUAAAUGAUUAAAACGUAAAUACGAAUAUAAUUCAAUCAUUUGUAGUUAGAGAUUAGAAAAAAAUCUCCUCAGAUUCAAUAUGAAAACAUUUAGAGUACAUGUAUUACGCUCAAUUCAUAGAGAUUUAGAAAGCUGCUCUUAGAAUUUCAAGCUUUUACUUGAGCAGUAUAAAUUGAUAGUUUUUUAGGGACCAUUUUAAAAUUUCUAUCCAUAAAUUUUCUUUAAAAACAAAGUGACGUGCAAAGCGCACUAAUAUAUUUUAAAAUUUAAGCAAUGAUAUCUUUACGGUCAUAGUAAAAUUAUUAUUUUAAUAUUAUUAAGAUAACAGUUUGAUAAUAAUUUAAAAAUAUUUAAAAAAUUUAUUUUUUUAUUAUAUUUAAUAAUAAAUUUUAAUAAAAAAUUAUUUUAUAUUUAAUAAAAUCAUAAUUUUUACUAUAUUUUAUAUUUACAGUAAAAAAAUAUGUUUAAAGCUGAUUUAUAUUUAAUAGUGAUAUAUUUCAAAUUGUUGUUAUUAAUUUAUAAUUAUAUUUAAAAUAUACAAUAUUACUAUUUUAAAUUUAUUUUUAUAGUAGUGGUUUUUUUGCAUACUCCACCUUCCUCUACUAUUUAUAAAAAUUUAUAAAAAAUAAUAUAUAUUUAAAAAAAUAGAGUAAAAAAUUAAUGAAUCACUGUACAUGAUACAUUUAUAGAAAAUAUUUCUCUAAAACUGUUUCAUGUAGACUGAAUAUAAUAAUUACAGUGGAAUUUUUCCGAUAUUAUAAAGUUUUGAUUUCAAAAUCUGUCACAUCAAGUCAACGGUUUAAUUAUUAGUAACGUUGAUAAAAAAAAAAGUAUUAAUAACUGAAUUUUUUUAGAAGUUAUUAAUAACUGAAAAAUACUUAAUCUCAUAAUAUAACAUAUGAUUAAUCACAACUGCCCAUACGAUCAUCAAGGUAAAGGAGGGCAGACGAAAAAUAAAAAAUUAAAAAAGAAGAAUGGGUCAGUCAGUGGAACCCACUAACAUGUGAGUGAGCCAUAUGGUUGUUACACAGUUGGCCAGUUCAACAGUUCAAACUAGGAAGACCAAGAAUGGUCACAGACAACAGCACCAAUAGCGCAGAUAUAUAGAGUCAAAUGCAAUACCGUGUAUAAUUGAUCAGUCGAAUAGCACAAAGAAUUUUCUUCGAAUUUUCUCCAUAUAGAUAACGUGUGGACCAUCCUACACUCCCUCUCGGCCUCUCUAUAUAAACGCCUAAUUCUCUGCUCACUCUUCAUCUUCAUCACCAUUUCUAUUGUCUGCCUCUUCACUUCACUCAGCUUCUCUCUCGCUGAUCAGUUUUGAUUUCUUCAGUUUUCGAUCCAUAAUUAAUAAUGGGUUUGAAGGGUUUUGUUGAAGGUGGUAUUGCCUCCAUCGUCGCUGGUGCCUCCACCCAUCCUCUUGAUCUCAUCAAGGUUCGCAUGCAACUUCAAGGUGAAUCCCACCUCCCCAAUCCAGCCUCCCUUCAAGCCCUCCGUCCUGCCAUCGCCUUCAACACGGUUGCUGCUGGUGCCGGCAAUAUUUCACUACCUGUAGAAAUUGCUCCUCCACCUGCUCGUGUUGGACCCAUUUCUAUCGGUGUUCGUAUCAUUCAAUCUGAAGGUGCUGCAGCCCUUUUCUCUGGUGUAUCUGCCACUAUACUUCGCCAGACCUUGUACUCAACCACCCGUAUGGGUCUUUACGAUGUUCUUAAACACAAGUGGACAGAUCAAGACACCGGAACCAUGCCUCUUCCACGCAAGAUUCUUGCCGGCCUUAUCUCCGGCGGUAUCGGAGCCGACGUUGGGAACCCCGCUGACGUGGCUAUGGUCCGAAUGCAGGCUGAUGGACGUCUCCCAAUUGACCAACGUCGCAACUACAAGAGUGUGUUUGAUGCUCUGACUCAAAUGUCAAAGCAAGAAGGAAUUGCUAGCCUCUGGCGUGGCUCAAGUCUAACAGUGAACCGUGCGAUGAUCGUCACUGCAUCACAGCUCGCAUCCUAUGAUCAGAUCAAGGAGAUGAUAUUGGAGAAGGGUGUGAUGAGUGAUGGAAUAGGGACCCAUGUGACGGCGAGCUUCGCAGCUGGGUUUGUGGCAUCGGUGGCUUCAAACCCUAUAGAUGUGAUAAAGACUAGGGUUAUGAACAUGAAGGUGGAGACAGGGGCGGAGCCGCCAUACAAGGGUGCAUUAGACUGUGCAAUGAAGACAGUGAGGGCGGAGGGUCCAAUGGCUUUGUAUAAGGGAUUUAUCCCUACAAUCUCAAGGCAAGGACCUUUCACUGUGGUGCUGUUUGUCACGCUAGAGCAGGUCAGGAAACUGCUCAAAGAUUUCUAACUCAUGUGAUGAUGAUCGAUGAGGAAAAUCAAACGCCAUUACAUAUAGCUAGAAAGCUGUGAAUUUUUCAGCUUCAUUGCUGAGAAUUAUUCUUUAAUUUUUUUAAUGGGACUCUUUGUAUCUGUCAAAUUGCAGUUAAAUUGGCAAUUCCACAGUUUUAGGAAGAUAGAUUCCUGCAUUUAACAUUUUAUUUAUAAAAAAAAAAUUAAAAAUAAUUUUUUUAAAGUAUAUAAAAAAUAAUUAAUAAUUAUAAAAAAAUUAUAUAAAAUGACAGCUAGACAUUUUUUAAAAUAAUUAAUAAUUAAAAUUAUUUUAUUUUUUUAAAAUUAAAUGUAUAUAAAAACAAAAAAUAUAUAUAUUUUAAAGAAAAAUUUUUUAAUAUUUAAAAUAUUCAUUGACUAAUUUUCUAAAUGCCUCAAAUAUUAAAAAAAUAUGAAAAAUAUUUUUAGUUAAAAUAUAAAAAAUAUUUAACUAAAAAUAUUUUGUAUAAAAAAGUAGAGUCUAAAAUAUAUAAUUUUUUUAUAUUUUUUAACAUAUCUACCUUUUAAAAUUUUCAUAAAUAUGAUAUUUUAAAAUCUCAACGUGGUUUUACUAUCAUUAAAAUUUUAAAUUUUUUUAACUCACAAUUUAAUAAAAUAAUUAAUAAAAAUUUCAAAAAUAUAUAAUUUCAUUAAAAUAAUUUUAUGUAAUUUUUUUAAAUAAUUAUUUGUUUAAACAUUUUUUAUUUAAAAAUAAAAAAAAUUUUAAAAUAAUAAAUUAUUAUUUUUAACAAUAAUUUUAAUUAGUAAUUAUUUUUUUUAUAUACUUUAAAAAAAUUAUUUUUAAUUUUUUUUUAAAAAUAUUUUUUUAUAAAAUUGACAUAUUCAAUAAUUAAAGCGUUAAACAUACCGAUUUCCACCGCUAGAUUAUCAAACUGUGCAGUUCCACAGCAUGAGUGAUGAAUAAAAAUUCAAAAUGCCUUGGAAGAUCAAACGUGAAUUUCAAUUUCUUUUUUUUUUCUUGUGCGUGUUUUGAAAAAAAAAUAGCUCUACCAAAGCAGUAAACUCAGCAAGCACAAAGGUACACAGGCCAAGUCGAAUCAUGAAUCCAGCUGCCCAACGACCGCGGCUAUUCCGGAGUAGCCCACCUCCUCCUCCACGACCUGGAUUCCCCUGCAAGCUGCGACGCUCCAUCUGUGUUGAGUUUUAACCACCUAUCUCGCGGUGGAACCCAUGAAACAGCCACCAAAGUUCGUUGUUUUUGCACCUUAUUCAUUCCUUUCCAGACCUUAUAAUUCAUGCAGUAUUCCCUACGUAAAAUGGCUAUCUUUGAAGUUAACGUUAAUAUUUCUCCCUCAAACACAUAAUUAUUUCUCCACUGCCACAAAAACCAUAACGUAAUACAAAGACACUGUACAGCCUGAUACUCACUCCUUUCUCUACAUAUCAGUUCUUCACAAUGUAACCAGUCCUGAAUUCCCAUGUUAUAAAAUUUGGUUAAAGAGUUGGCCUCCCAUACAUUUCCUAGACUUGUCGAGCAGCCCAACAAUAAAGAUAUGUAGGUAACUUUCAUAUAUUUUUUACUUAUAAUUUAAAUUAAUUUUAUAUUUUUAGUAAAUUUAGUAAAUAAAAAUAAAUAUUUAAUAUUUAAUUAUUUUAUUCAUAAAAAUUAAAAAAUUUAAUUUCAUUGACUCAUUGAAGAUGUGAUAUAGUGAUUCUAUCAUAUGAAAGGUAAAUACGUAGAAAAAUUAUAAAUUUUUGUUUAUAAAUAUAUCAUAUUUUUUGUGCUUAAUUUUAAUUUAUUAUAAUUUUAAAAAGUAAAAAGAUAAAUAUUGAAUUUAAAUGUUUAUUUUAUUUAUUAUCAGCAAAUGAGACUUUCUGUAUAUAUUAAUAUUUACUGGGACGGAAAUAUUAUAAGUACGUUUUCAUGGAUAUGAUUAUGGUGGAAGUUUUUCAAAUGUUGUUCUAAUAAGUAAAAGGAUAAGUUUUAAUCAAACAGUAAAAAAAAUUGCAUAUACUAAUAUUUACUGGAACGAAAAUAUUAUAAGUAAUUCUGAUGGAUAUGAUUAUGAUGGAGGUUUUUCAAAGGUUGUUCCAAUAAGUAAAAGGAUAAAUUUUAAUUAAGCAAUCGAAAAAAUUGCAUAUACUAAUAUUUAUUGGGACGAAAAUAUUAUAAGUAGUUUUCAUGGAUAUGAUUAUGAUGGAGGGUUUUCAAAGGUUUUCCAAUAAGUGAAAGGAUAAGUUUUAAUCAAGCAGUCGAAAAAAUUGCUUGUGCAGUUGAAUUAGUCGAGAAUAAUGAAUAUAUAGAGAUAAUUAAUUUUAAAAAACCUAUAAUUUUGGAUGGAUCAUUAAAAUUUAAGUAUAUGGACACUACAAGAAUUUUAAAAAUUACCAACAGAAAUUUCCAUUGGUAAACAUUGAUAUUCCGUUAGUGAAAAAUUUCACUAACGGAUCUGUGACGGAUUCAUUCCGUUGGGAAAAUUCUCGUUGGUAAAUUAUUCACUAACGGAAUUUGUAUCCGUUAGUGACACUAACGAAUCACCAACGGAAAUGUCCGUUGGUGACACUAACGGAAUGCAAUUCCGUUGGUAAUACUAACGGAUUUUGCAUUAGUAAUCCGUUAGUGAAUAAAAAAUGGCGUUGUUUUCCUUUGCAAUGGACAUGGAUCUGUUAGUGACACCAACGGAAAUUCUAUUGGUAAUCCGUUGGUAAAUCAUAAAAUUGCAAAAUCAUCCAUAUAUUUUCAUACAUUAUGUACUUGUACCCUGUACAUUCAUAUACAUCCAUCAUCAUCCAUCAUCAUCCUGGACAUUAAUAAUACUAUAAACGUAAAAAAUCAAAUUACUCAUUAAAAUAUAUUUAAAACUUAAAAAAUUUGUACUACAAUUAUAAUUUGAAAUAAAAAUUAUCAACUGGUCAUAACAAAAGAUACAUACUAAACUAAACUAGCAAACUCAUCAUCUGUAUCAUCAUCAUCACUAUCUGUAUGAUGAUCACCAAUGACAGGGGCAUCAUCAUGCCGCUGCUGUGGAGACGGAGCUGGAGGUGCCCUAGGAGCAGAUGUCUGAGUGGAUGUCCCAAUACUCUGUUGUGCCAUCAUCCUAUGCAUAAACGUCUGCAACUCGUCCAACACUGUGCUAAUUCAACCAUUCUCUGUCUCUAGCCGAUCAAUUUUAUUCUGCAUCUUGUUCAUUGCUUCAAUUGUAGGAGGAUCCACUGGGGGUGCAGACGUGUAUGAAGCGGAACAAUGAGAUGGCUCAUGAAAAUAUGCUAAAGCCUAGGACCCUAAUCUAUAAACUCGACUCUUUUUCUGCCCGCCAACCGCUUCGUAGUACAGUUGGACCUCAUUUAUGGUCGUCGGCUCAUUGCUUCUCUCCUGUUGCUGUGUUGCUACCUCUUUCAGUUGUACGUAUUUAUCCUGCAUUAUAAAUUUCAAGUAACGUAUUAGUAAAACGAUUUAAGUACAUCAAAAUUGUUAAUAACUACAUUUAAUAUUAACUUACAUAAAUAGCUUUUGACCUAGCAUCAACAAACUCUUCUGUCCCUUUUCUCUUAUGUGUGACCUCGAAAACCUCAUGAGGAUGUGGUUCUCUGCCUAGUCUUUCUCUCUGUUACCAAUUAUAAGAAGUAUAGCAAUUAUCAUCGAAAAAAAAUAUUUAUAAGAAGAUAAAUAUAAAAUAAAAAUAUUUACUAAUACCAUCCUCUGCUAAUGGGUAUACUGUGAAACUGAUCCGCAUGCAUGCCUGGAAAUGCCAGAUCCUGACCCUCCAGCCUCAAUGCGCCUAUUGGUAGAAAACUUGUCACACUUCUCUUUGUAUUCAGAAGUGUUCCAAGUUUUCUGCCACUUCCUCAAAAUAGAAUCUGGUGUAGCCAGAUUCUUCGCCUUCCCUUUCCUGAUUUCCCACAUUAAGCCCCUAUAUCUCUCAGCUGCCUUUUUCUGCCAUGCAAUUUUGACCAAGCUUUCAAUUGCUUGGUCCCAUAUGAAGCAUUUCUGCAAAAAGAUUAAAGUAUAUGAUUAGUUAGUAAUUACACAUUUCAUAUUAUAAAUCAAAAUGCUAAAAGAAUUACGCUUCACCUUGAAUUCCUGCCAAUAAAACUCCUUAGUGUCAUUUGGCACUGUCUUCCAACAGUGUCCUUCCGCGAUCAAUCUUUAUUUUAUUAUCAGAGUAAUCCUGCGACUGCACAUCUCCGACGGAUGUAAACUACAUGAACAACGGUGAGUUAGUAUAGGGUAACAUUGAAAUUAAUCAUAAUUAAAAAAUAAUUAACUAUUACUUGUUAUUAAUGAGUGAAAUGGUCUGUCGGAAUGAAUGUGUGCCGCCUACAGCAGUGGUCGAUCCUGCAGAUGCUGGAGCAGAUGAUAGAGUAGAUGCUGAUGCAGAUCCUGACCAUCUAGCUGAUGCAGUAGCAGAAGGAGAUGCAGGUUGAGGUGAAUGUGAAUGUGAUAUCGCAGGUCGUGGAGCUGGAGUGGGAUGGUGAGGAGCUAGAGUGUGACGGUGAGGAGGUGGAAGGGGACGGGGAGGCAAUGCAUCGGUACAUGGUGGAACUGGUGGACCUAAUAGAUCCCUAUGACAUGGUUGUACACUGGAUGCAAGUGGUACCCAUAUUUGAAGCUCCGUAUCCCCAAGUCCCGUUGAUGCCGUGGUAACUACGGCUAAUGCUCUUGUCCGCCAUCUGCAGUCGCCUCCUCUUGACUUGUACUAGCAGGAAGUCGAACCGGUCCUCUGGGCUUCUUAACCCUUCCACAUCCCCUCAUCUGUGAACAAAUAAAAAAUAGUCAAUGCAAAAAAUAAUAUAAAGUUCAUAAACAUUAAAUUAAAAACGUACAAACAUAGUAAGUUACUCACUGAGAAAUAAUGAAAAUAUACAACUCCAAACUGAUUUAUAAUAUAAAUUAAUUUAGUCCGAUUCAUACGAAUCGAACUCAUUAUCACCAUCUGCAUCUACAUCAGAAUUAGGGUCACUAAGAAACUCAUCUUCAUCUGUCGAAACAUCAUCAUGAAUCUCAGUCAUUCCUCCACUAGGAUCAUUCAGGUAGUGUUGUUGAGUAAUAUCAUCCAGAUUUACUUCAGCGUAAUCAAUCUCAUCUUCUUGAAAAGGUUUAUAUGUCUUUGAAGACGUUUCAGAUACUUCAACAACGGGUCUACCUUUAACUUUCAUCACAGCCCACCAAUCAUUUUUGUCACGACGCUUGCUCGGGUAUGAAGCAUAAACGACCUGUGUUGCCUGAGAGGCUAAUACAAAUGGCUCGUACUUACUGUAUCUACGCUUAUUGUUAACAUCGACUAUUCUAUAAUGUCUAUGCACCUUGGUGCCCGUAUUUAGUAUUGGAUCAAACCAAUCAUAUUUGAAAAGUACAGUCCGCUUAAUUGAUAACACUGGAUACUCCAACCGUAACACCUCAACCAACUGUCCAUAGUAGUCACUUUCUUUAAAACUGUAAUUACUCCCUUUUAUACAUACACCAAAAUUCAUUGACUUACUACUUAAAUUUCCAUUGAUUGUGUUGAAUUUAUAUCCAUUAACACAAUACCCAUCAAAAGUUGUGACACUUCUGAGUGGUCCCUUUGAAAGAUCUUGUAUAAGCUGAUUUUUUACAUUGUUCUGCAAUUCAUGGGCAUACUUGUAAAACCAUUGGCCAAACUCUCUCUCCAGUUUUUCAUCAACAGUUGCAUCUGUGAUAUUUGGUUGUGCCGAUUUUACUUGCUCUACAUAAAUGCUAUACAUACAAAUUAACAAGUAAUGUUUAACAAUAAUGUACAAUAUAAGAGAUAUUACACUAUUAAUAUAACUAACAAUACUUACUCAAUAUAUGUUUUCACCUCUGGACAAUUUAAAAGAAUAUAUGUUUGAGCAGAUUGGCUUUCAUUUUCAGUCAUAUAUCUCGAUUUUCCCUUUCAGAUUGUGCUACCUGUGCAUUUGAAUAUGCUUAAUUUGCUCGGUACAUCAUCAUCGGAAACAAAUUCAUGCAAGUUGCGUGGAACCUUCGAUGUCUGGUCAUUACAUGUGCUUCAAAAUAAUGAGCAGAAAAUGCACCUGCUUCUUCUACCAAGUAAGCAUUGCAUAUUGAACCUUCGACCCUUGCUUUAUUUUUGACAUUGUUCUUUAACUUUCUCAUGUAUCUAGUGUGUGAAAACAGAAAUUAGAAAUGUAUACUAAGUAAAUCAUAAUGCUGAGCAAUAUACGUAAAGAAUUAGUAAGUAUACCUCUCAAAUGGUAUAUCCACUGAUAUUGUACUGGUCCUGCAAUUAAUGCUUCAUAUGCAAGGUGUACUGGUAAAUGUUCCAUUGAAUCAAACAGACUUGGAGGAAAUACUCGUUCAAGCUUACAAAGGAUCACAGGAAUUUGUUCAUUUAACCGUUGCAUGUCCCAAUUAAUAAGUGUAGUUUAAGUAAGUUCUCUGAAGAAAUUGCUAAGCUCUGUUAUUGGUUGCCAAACAUUAUUCGAUAACAAUUCUCUGAAAGCUAUAGGAAGAAUUCGUUGUAUGAAAACAUGACAGUCGUGGCUUUUCAUACUAAAAAGUCUAAGCUUCCGACUAUCAACACACCUCCCUAGAUUGAAAACAUAUCCAUUAGGGAAUUUCAGUGUUUUAAGCCAAUCACACAGUAUCAUCUUUGAUUGCUUGUCCAAACAAUAACUUGCUUUUGGAUAUUUUCCGCUAAUUGGAUCUUUCUUCAAUUCUGGUCUCCUGCAUAUUUCAUUUAAAUCUUCCCUUGAUUUUAUAUUGUCUUUCGUCUUCCUCUCCACAUUCAUCACUGUAUUAAAAAUAUUUUCAAAUACAUUCUUUUCAAUAUGCAUUACAUCAAGAUUGUGGCGAAUCAUAUUUGAUUACCAAUAUGGCAAAUCCCAUAAUAUGCUCCGCUUACGCCAACCAGUUGUCUUUGAAAGCCGACCAUUUAUUUCAUGACUGUCAAUGUCUAUUAUCCGCAUCAACCCAAUUUGCUCAAUUUCUUUUAGCAAGUAUUCCCCAGUUCUAAUUGGCGGCGAUGACUUGGAGACUGUUUGGUUUUUAAUAAAAGAUAUCUUGUUUCGACGGAAAGCAUGGUCGUCAGGCAAAAACUUUCGAUGACUGUCAAACCAUGUUUGUUUACCCCCCCUUUUUAAUGUAAAUGCAUCUGUGUUUUCCAUACAGUAGGGACAUGCAGUGCGUCCUGCUGUGCUCCACCCUGAGAGCAUUGAAUAAGCAGGGAAGUCACUAAUAGUCCAAAGUAAAGCAACAUGCAUAGUAAAAUUGUUCUGCUGGAAAGCAUCAUAAGUAUUCACACUAAUUUUUCAAAGUUCUUUCAAUUCCUUCACUAAUGGUUGCAUGUACACAUCAAGCUUCUCUUUUGGAUUCUUGGGACCAGGUAUGAUAAUUGUCAGGAAUAUGUACUCAUCUUUCAUACACAUACCUGGUGGCAAAUUGUAUGGAGUUAAUAUUACUGGCCAUGAAGAAUACUGUUGCCCAAAUUGACCGAAUGGUUGAAAUCUAUCAGUGCAAAGGCCGAGUCUGACAUUUCGGGCCUCCAUUGCAAAGGUUGGAUGAGUUUGAUUGAAAUGCUUCCAAGCAAGAGCAUUUGAACAAUGAUGCAUCACCCCAUCAUCAUUUGCAUGGUCAUUGUGCCAAGUCAUAUACUUAGCUGUAACACACGAUGUAUAAAGUCUUUGCAAACGUGGUGUAAUGGGAAAGUAAUACAUUUUUUUGUAUGGUAUUAGACUCUUCCCUUUCCCCUUGGUGUGCUUGAGGUGUUUGAACCUUUCAUGGUCACAAAAUUUGCAUCUAGUAAGUUCUUUAUUAUUUUCCUAAUAAAUCAUACAAUCAUUAAAACAACAGUGUAUCUUUUGUACAGGAAGCCCCAAUCCUUGGACUAGUCUCUUUGUUGAGUAAAAGCUGCCCGUCAUGACAUUGUCACUCGGUAACAUCUCCUUCAUAAGUUCACAAAUCUGAUCAAAACACCAUUCUGAGAAAUGAUGUUCUGCCUUCAGAUUUAGUAAACGUGAAACGGCCGAUAACUGAGAGUGAGUUUCACAUUCAGGCCAUAGUUCUUACUUAGAUGCAUUUAACAUUUCAUACAGUUUCUGUGCAGCGGAGUUUGGCAUCUCAUAUGUAUCAUUAUGUAUUAUAUGACAACUUAUUGCAUCCAUGACCAUGUCCUCAAACCGAUUGAAAUUUAGGUGAUUAACACUAUCAGAACCAUAAGACAUGUCUAAUAGUGCAUCACCAGAUCCGUCAUGCACUUCAGUUUCACCGUGCAAAUACCAAGCAAGGUAAUUUUGCACAAAACCAUGCUUCAUUAAAUGAUAUUUAACUGUAUUUUCAUCUUGAAAGCUACAGUUCUGACACUUAAAUCGAUUGCAAGGACAGCGAAUCUGAUCGUCAUUUAAAUAAUAUGGGCAGUUCUUAGCCUUCUCUAUAAAUUCAUUGAUCCCCUCUAAAUAUCUGGGAUUAAGUAAACCAUCUCUGAGACGAGCAUACAUCCAACUUCUUUCAGCAGUCAUAUUAACUACAAUAACGAUGCUGAUAUGAAAACAUAAAACUUAUAAAUCCUAUCUUCGAACAGAGCCUGAAAACCAAUAAUUAAAUUAUGCAUUAUAUCUAAAAUAUGCAGUAAUUAUAUCAAUUUUACUUAAGAGAAUAAUUUAUGCAAAAAAAUAGAAUAAUAAUACAAAAACCUGAAAUACAUGAUAAUUUAAUUACUAAUAUCUUCAUAAUCACGUGUUUAAUUAAUUAUUAGGUCCGCCAAUUUAUUAGAUGCGCCAAAUUAUUUUUGAGAAGUGCACCAAAAUGCACCAGCAGGUGCACUGCAAAAUGCACAUGCUGGUGCACUUGGCGAGUGCAACAGCAGGUGCAAAGGAUAAAUUCAAAAAAAUAUAAAACCUGAAUCAGGUAAAAAAUUUCACAAAAAUCAAGCGGGUGCAGAGGAUAAUUUCACAAAAAAUCAAAAAUUUCAAAAAUAUAAAACAUUUCACAACAAUUUCACAAGAAUGGAGUACAUGCAAGAAAAUAGGGUACCUGUGGACAGUGUCCGUCGAUAAUGGCAAGACCGGAGAGAGAGAGGGCCUCACUCGUGGACCGUGAUGCCGAGAAAGGGCGCACCUGUCGACGGUGGAUGGCGGCAGACCGUGGUUAGCGGCAGCGGUGAAAGACCCAGAGGUUGGACGCAAAUUCGGAUUUCAGAGAUAUUUUGAUUUCCUAAUCACACGAUUUAGGGAUCUCAUUUAGUAUACUGUGUAUUUUGGGUUAAAAUUCACUAACGGAUGAUUAGUCCGUUAGUGAAAAAAACAUUAGAUUAAAAAAUAAUAAAAUCACUUACAGAUUACUAACAGAAAUAAUGUCCGUUAGUAUUUCACUAACGGACUUAUGAUGGAUGGGUACGAGCGUAUUCUUCAAUCCGUUAGUGAAGUCCGUUAGUGAUCAAUUGAAAUCUUGUAGUGGGAGAUAUGGGGUGAAGAUGACGUAUCUCAUAUGUUUAAUUACACAUGUCAAGUUAGUGAUAUGACUGAUAUAAAAAAAUAUGUUAAGAUACUUCGUCGUGUUAAUACGAUAAAUGAGGAUGUUGAUAUUGAUCUCUCUGGAACUGCUCUUGAAUCAAAUAUUGAAUAAUGUGAAGAGCAGAAUUCACUGAAUGAUUAUAAUUUAUCUGAUACUCUUGAAGGGCGAUCGAAUAAUUUAUCUGAUAGAGCAGAGGAUGAUGAUUCAUAGAUAUCUACUGAGGAUGAUGAUGAUGAUGGCGAGGAUAAUGAUUCAUAGAUGUCUACUGAGGAUGAUGAUGAUGGCAAGGAGGAUAGUUUGAGUAGAUAUCAAUACUACAAUACUCAAUUUCUAAUCCUAUUGUGCCUAUUGUUCAUCCUCCCCAUACUCAGAAAUAUAUUUCGAUUUACUACAGUGGAUUCCUAUGAUAAACUAGAAUGUUGUUUCUUUUGGGAUCCAUUUAAAGAGUUUUCAAUUGGGAUGCUAUUUUCUUCAAGAUAUGCAAUGGCUCCGGCUGCAAAAAAAUAUCACCUUAGACGUCAUCAUCAAUUUUGCUACCAUGAAACAAGAGAGAGUACAUAUUCUAUAAAGUAUAAAGACAAAUACAAUGGUUGUGCAUUGAGGCUUCGAGCAUCCAAAAAACAAGAAGAGGAUAUAUAAAAAAUUAUGAGAUAUAAUGGACCACACACAUAUACAAAUCCUCAAUUAUUGAAAAACAAUAGCUAAUUGGAUGAAAAUUUCAUCUAUUCAUUCAUCUUUGCAUUGAUUGAAUAACAGCCUAAUAUAAAAAUUGCAGCCCUACAAGCAGAAGUGUGAGAUAAAUUUGGGUACGAGUUGUCUCAUAAAAAAACAUGGAAAGCAAAGUAUAAGGCAAUUGCAAAGCUUUAUGGGAGUUGAGAUGAAUCACAUAGUUAGUUGCGUAAAUUCAUAACAGCUGUUCAUUAUUUCAAUUGUGAAACAAUAUACAUUAUUAGGAACAACCCACAUUGGAUAGAUGAACAAUUAAAUUUGAUGUGUUGUAUAUUUGACCAAAUGUUUUGGACUUUUAAGCAAUCGAUUAAGGGAUUUAAAUAUUGUCAACCUGCAAUUUCAAUCGAUGAGACAUUACUUUAUGGAAAAUACACCUGGCGUAUAUUGUGUGUAACUGCACUCGAUGGAAAUAAUCAACUUUUUUUUAAAACUUUUGUCAUUGUUAAUAAGAAAGAUGAUGACAAUUAGUCAUGGGUUAUGGACUGCAUAAGGUAUUUGUGACCAAUAGAGAAGACUUAUGUGUAAUUUCAGACCAUCAUGCUGGAAUUAUUAAGACGAUACAGAAAGAUUGGUGGCAACCUCCAGCCGGUCAUCAUCCUUACCAUAUAAGACAUGUAUUGAGCAAUUACAAUAAAACAUUCAAAAAUGCUGCAAUAAAGAAAUCAUUGUGUAGGGCAGAUAGAUGUCAUGUCUUUAAAUACAAUUUUUUUUAUCUAUUUAAUGUCACAUUUUGCUGAUAAUAAUUUUACUUUAAUGAACUUAUAAUUUAUAUCAGCAAAUCAAAAUCAGAAGAGAAAGUUUUAUGAAGCCAUGAACAAUAUUCAGGAGGUGCACCCUGAAUCAUAUGAUUGGACAGUUAAAAUAAAUUUAGCGAAAUGGACGAGAUCACACGAUGGUGGACAAAAAUAUAACAUGAUGACAAUAAACAUUUCUAAAUCCCUAAAUGGCAUGAUGAAAGGAUUUUGAGUGUUGUCUAUAACGACAAUAGUUGAAAAAAUAUUCUUUCAAUAUGUCCAUUAUUUUGAUACAUGACGAACAAUAUUUUUUGAUCAGCAAAGCAAGGAUUUAUUUUCACUCAGACUUGCAGUGAAACUCUUCGUGUUAAUGCAAUUAAAACGAAUGGACAUAGAGUGAGAAGGUUUAAAAGUCAAACAAUGGUUUGUAAAAUAAUUAUUAUUCGGGGUAGGCAAAAACAAGUGGUUAAACUUAUGGAUUAAAUAUGCACAUGUGACAAAUUUCAAGAGACGAGAUACCAUGUUCACAUGCUAUUGCUGCAUGUAUGUCCCAUUCAAUUGACUACAAGCAGUUUGUCUCUGAUUAUUAUAAAUUGGAGUAUAUCAUCCAAUGUUAUGCAUACACAUUCUAUCUUUUUAGACAUCCUAACUAUUGGCCUGCAACAUAUGAACUUCUUCUUGUGCCUGACAUUUCUAGAACAAGGAAGAAGAAACGACCAAAAUCUUCUAGGAUUCAUAAUGAGAUGGAUUGAAAGUCGAGCAAAAUAAAAGAAACGUCUAGAGUCCAUUGUUUAAUAUGUGACAGGGUGGGACAUAAUAAAAAAAUCUGUGUAGGUUGAAAAAUAAAUAGAUAAAUGUUAAUAUUUAUACUUACAGUCACUUAUAUUUUUUAUAAUUAUUAUAAACGUAAUGUAUUUUUUAGUGUUCAUUUAUUUUUAUUGGUAUCUUAUAUUUAUGUUUAAUGGUCGAUCGCUCAUGAUUACAUUUACAGAUUAAUAUGGUCGAUCGCGUUGUUAAAAAGAACAAAUCACACAAGUCAUCCAUAUCAAGAAUAUUUAAGAAUAAUUCAAUUAUAAUAGUCAAAAAGUAUAUAGAUCCUAAUGGCAUAACAUGGUAUGAAAAAAAUAAAUACGUCAGAUUACUCAUGUCUUAAUCGUAGUAAUGCACCACAUAUUUUCAUUGGUUUUCCUUUAAAUUCGUUACAAGAUUUUGGAUAAGUAAUUAUAUCGAGCGUUGAACCUCCAUGGGGAGACUAUGGAAAAUACGUUGUGAGUUAGAAGUAUAUUUUAAUAAAUAUAUUAAAAUAUCUCUAAUGGUUUAAAAAAUUUACUAAUUAAUUUUUUAUUAAUUUUAACAAUUAAAUAUUAUAAAAAGUUUAAAACACUCUCGAUACGGAAAGACUAAUUAUUAACUUUUUUAUAAAAUUAAGAAAUUAAUUAAUAUUUUUUUUUUCAAAUUACAGAAAUUAGAUGAUAAAAUAUUUAAAAAUAAUUAAUUAGUAGAUUUUUUAAAAUGCUAUGAUGGUUUAAUGGAUUUUUUAAAAUUGAGAAGUAAUAGAAUUAAAUAAUAAAUUUUUAUGUAUUUUGCUAUUAUUAAGUAUACAUUUGAUAUGAUAACAAAAAUUAGAGUAGUUGUUAAUGGUAUAUAUUUUUAUGGAGUAAUAAUUAAAUUUAAAAAAAAAAGGUUUAAUAUUAAAAAUGAAUAUAACUGUUAAUCUAUUAAUUUUUUAUGUUUUAUAUAAAAAAAUUAAAAAUAAUUAAAAAUAAUUCAUUUAACUUAAUAAAAUAUCAUUUAGAUGUUAUAUUAUAGAUAAGUAAUGCAAUGAAUAUAUAUUUAUUAUGAAUCAUAUAUUAAUUUAGAGAAAAUUUUAAUAUAAAAUCAAUCAUAAAUAGAUAAAUCCGUAACAAACCGUAUUCUAAGUAGACACCUAUCAUGAUGUUCUUACAAGUGGACAAAUGGUGCGAGAGUAGAGUGCAUGUUAACGGGAAAGUAGCAAUCAAAAGAAAGCACUAGAAUUUAAGUUAUGGAACCCACAAUACGCGUCGUUUUAAAUACAAAUUUUGAAUUUUACAAAAUGGCAAAUAAUGAAAAUGUUGAAUUAAGCGUCAAAGGCCAAACCGAGACUACGUAUUAGAUAAAGUCAAACAAAGUGUGGCGACUGUUGGACAAUUCAACAUUCCUCGCUAUAUAAACGCCUAAUUCUCUACUCAUUCUUCAUCUUCAUCACCAUUUCUAUUCUCUGCCUCUUCACUUCACUCAGCUUCUCUCUCGCUGAUCAGUUUUGUUUUCUCCAGUUUUCCAUCCAUAAUUAAUAAUGGGUUUGAAGGGUUUUGUUGAAGGUGGUAUUGCCUCCAUUGUCGCCGGUGCCUCCACCCACCCUCUUGACCUCAUCAAGGUUCGCAUGCAACUUCAAGGUGAAUCCCACCUCCCCAAUCCAGCUUCCCUUCAAGCCCUCCGUCCUGCCAUCGCCUUCAACACGGUUGCUGCUGGUGCCGGUAAUAUUUCACUACCUGUAGAAAUUGCUCCUCCGCCAGCUCGCGUUGGACCCAUUUCUAUCGGUGUUCGUAUCAUUCAAUCUGAAGGUGCUGCAGCCCUUUUCUCUGGUGUAUCUGCCACUAUACUUCGCCAGACCUUGUACUCAACCACCCGUAUGG